This 502-nucleotide ribosomal RNA is filed under the name Escherichia coli. RNAcentral's name for it is "bacterial SSU rRNA". It matches the Rfam family "Bacterial small subunit ribosomal RNA", at positions 161 to 658 of the family's 1533-position model. Lineage: Bacteria; Pseudomonadati; Pseudomonadota; Gammaproteobacteria; Enterobacterales; Enterobacteriaceae. The record is from RNAcentral.
AGCUAAUACCGCAUAACGUCGCAAGACCAAAGAGGGGGACCUUCGGGCCUCUUGCCAUCGGAUGUGCCCAGAUGGGAUUAGCUAGUAGGUGGGGUAACGGCUCACCUAGGCGACGAUCCCUAGCUGGUCUGAGAGGAUGACCAGCCACACUGGAACUGAGACACGGUCCAGACUCCUACGGGAGGCAGCAGUGGGGAAUAUUGCACAAUGGGCGCAAGCCUGAUGCAGCCAUGCCGCGUGUAUGAAGAAGGCCUUCGGGUUGUAAAGUACUUUCAGCGGGGAGGAAGGGAGUAAAGUUAAUACCUUUGCUCAUUGACGUUACCCGCAGAAGAAGCACCGGCUAACUCCGUGCCAGCAGCCGCGGUAAUACGGAGGGUGCAAGCGUUAAUCGGAAUUACUGGGCGUAAAGCGCACGCAGGCGGUUUGUUAAGUCAGAUGUGAAAUCCCCGGGCUCAACCUGGGAACUGCAUCUGAUACUGGCAAGCUUGAGUCUCGUAGAGGG